This is a long non-coding RNA of Maylandia zebra (zebra mbuna), 180 nucleotides long. RefSeq lists it as uncharacterized. NCBI's taxonomy places the organism in Eukaryota, Metazoa, Chordata, Actinopteri, Cichliformes, Cichlidae. The record is from RefSeq and is a predicted model, not a curated record.
AGACCGGGACCCAUUUUUAUUCUGCAUGGCUGCUGGAAACAUCGUGUCACAUCUUUGAUUAAUUUCAUCCGAAAAUAAACAACCACAGAUCGCUCCAUCCAUUCCAUGGCUGAAGCAUACAUUUUCAUUUAAUCUGAACAGAUAUCCCAGAAAGAUGAAGCUGAGGAAGAGCUGCAGAGU